Molecule: ribosomal RNA, 882 nt
Filed under: uncultured Actinomycetes bacterium
Lineage: Bacteria; Bacillati; Actinomycetota; Actinomycetes
Description: bacterial SSU rRNA
Rfam family: Bacterial small subunit ribosomal RNA
Source: RNAcentral
CCGCGGGAUUAGAGUUUGAUCCUGGCUCAGGACGAACGCUGGCGGCGUGCCUAACACAUGCAAGUCGAACGCGCUCCAUUCGGUAGCAAUACUGAUGAAGAGUGAGUGGCGAACGGGUGAGUAACACAUGAGCAACCUGCCCCGAAGACUGGGACAACACCGGGAAACCGGUGCUAAUACCGGAUAUCCCUAUCGGACCGCAUGAUCUGAUAAGGAAAUGGAUUCCGCUUCGGGAGGGGCUCGUGGCCUAUCAGCUAGUUGGUGAGGUAACGGCUCACCAAGGCAUCGACGGGUAGCUGGUCUGAGAGGACGAUCAGCCACACUGGGACUGAGACACGGCCCAGACUCCUACGGGAGGCAGCAGUGGGGAAUCUUGCGCAAUGGGCGAAAGCCUGACGCAGCAACGCCGCGUGGAGGACGAAGGCUUUCUGAGUUGUAAACUCCUUUCAGCAGGGACGAUAGUGACGGUACCUGCAGAAGAAGCACCGGCCAACUACGUGCCAGCAGCCGCGGUGAUACGUAGGGUGCAAGCGUUGUCCGGAUUUAUUGGGCGUAAAGAGCUCGUAGGCGGUUUGAUAAGUCGGGUGUGAAACCUCCAGGCUCAACCUGGAGCCGCCACUCGAUACUGUCAUGACUAGAAUUCGGUAGGGGACCACGGAAUUCCUGGUGUAGCGGUGAAAUGCGCAGAUAUCAGGAGGAACACCAGCAGCGAAGGCGGUGGUCUGGGCCGACAUUGACGCUGAGGAGCGAAAGCGUGGGGAGCGAACAGGAUUAGAUACCCUGGUAGUCCACGCCGUANACGUUGGGCACUAGGUGUGGGGACUAUUCAACGGUUUCCGUGCCGCAGCUAACGCAUUAAGUGCCCCGCCUGGGGAGUACGGC